This 8153-nucleotide long non-coding RNA is filed under the name Lactuca sativa (garden lettuce). RNAcentral's name for it is "long non-coding RNA (LSAT_LNC000215)". The record is from RNAcentral. Lineage: Eukaryota; Viridiplantae; Streptophyta; Magnoliopsida; Asterales; Asteraceae.
UAGAUCUAGCCUUUAUUAUGCUUUUUGAGCCAUUUUAUCUUCAUGGAUGUAUAUGGGCACGUAAAGAUAGAAUCUUUACGUGCUAAUCGAGUUAAGGGAGCCCAGAUCUAUAAGUUUUAUACACUGGAUUCAAGCAGAAUCGAGUUUAGAGUUGCUGCAUGCAAGCGACUCGGCGAGUCGGAAGAACGACUCGGCGAGUCGAGUCGCGAGUCCCCGAUUUUCCCUUUUUGAGUGAUGCCGAGUGGGGACCAGUGAGUAGUAGAGUGGACUCAGCGAGUUGGAGGUCAGACUCAGUAAUGCAGGGACUUGGCGAGUUGUUCAUACAAAUCGGCGAGUCCAAGACAAUCUUCUUAGAUCGAAGAACAACUCGUCGAGUUGUUCAUAUGACUCGGCGAGUCGGAUGCAGAUUGCAUGACUUUUAGAUUCGAAAGGGGACUCGUCGAGUUGAUGCCAUACUCGACGAGUAACAGCGAGUAGGGUUGAGAAGUGAGAAUAGGGACUCGGCGAGUUGGGCGCUCAACUCGGCGAGUCAGGUCAACUGUAGGUUGACUUUGACCAGGAGAGUUGACUUUGACCAAGGGUAAAAGAGUCAUUUUACCCCAGUGUAGUGAUUAGCAUUUGAUUGAGUGUGUUAUGGAUUUGUAGCCGGGGAGAUACCGGAGCAGCAACAGUUAGCUUCCGGAGCCAUACACACAGCAGCCAGUUCACGAGGUGAGUUUCCUUCCAGUAGGAAUGGGUCUAAGGCCACAAUGCCGGCCCGUUCAGUUGGCAGUAGUUUUUGGACUUCGGUCCAACGCAGUAGUUAGUAUGUUUGACGCCUCCGUUGCUCAUACCGGAUUUAUGUGUUUAUGCUAAGUUGAUAUGUUAUGCUAUGCUGUGUUCAGUUAGUCCGAACUUCGGUCCGAUGUAGGGGACGGGGUCCCAGUCAGCUUCGGACUUCGGUCCGAUGUAGGGGACGGGGUCCCAGUCAGUUUCGGACUUCGGUCCGAUGUAGGGGACGGGGUCCCAGCCAGUCAGUUUCGGACUUCGGUCCGAUGUAGGGGACAGGGUCCCAACCAGUUAGUCCGGACUUCGGUCCGAUGCAGGGGACGGGGUCCUAGAUAGUUAGCCGGACAUCGGUCCGAUGCAGGGGACGGGGUCCCAGUCAGUGGGCAAGGCCUAGUAUGUGCUUUAUAUGUAUUGUAUGGUAUGUGGUAGUUUGGGGGAGCUCACUAAGCUUCGUGCUUACAGUUUCACUUUUGGUUUCAGGUACUUCCGAAAGCAAAGGGAAGAGCUCGGGAUGAUGGCAUCGCACACACCACAGCUUCAGUUUUUGUCCUGGGAGUUGAUACAGUUUUCUUAGAUAUGUCUUGAUACAGUUGUGAUUCAGUUUUCUCACAGUAUUUUAGUAUGGUUUGAGAUACAUAGUGCAUGGUUUUAUUAUAUGAUACUCAGAUUUAUGAUUUUUGGUUAUAUUAAAAAUGAAAUUUUUGGGUCGUAUUUUUGGGUCGUUUCAAGUUGGAAUCAGAGCCUUGGUUUGAGGGAUUCGGAUACACUUCCGGGUGUAUCUGAACUCAAACUAAGGGGAAAAUAAAAAGAUUUUCAAAAGGAAAAUGUUUUCUAAAGAAUUUUGAAAGCACUUAGAAAGAAAGGGAUUUUUAAACGACAUAAGGGUGUGGUGCAUGCGAUCAGCCGAGCUCAAGUAAGUACUCCCAAAUUACCCAUACAAGUUUAUUAGUUCACUUUCAGUUUUAGUUCCAGUUUCAGUUUCAGUUUCAGUAGAACAACAUGCUAGUAUAGGACUAAGGAUCUAGGAGGAUGCCUUAUGUGCCUGCUAUAUGUGUUUCAGCUUUAUGAGUAUUGCAUGCUAUUAUUGAGUAGACAGCAGUAGGAUAGCCUGUUUAGGUUAUGCCUGAUAGUAUGAGUUUAGCAUUGUAUGCUAGUACAGUUUCCUUGUUAUGAGGAUAGGAUUGCUUGAGUAGUUUCUUGUGUCCGAAUGUUGCUCGCUUUGAGCUUUGUGGGACUCCGAGUGAUGGGAGUUAGCCAUCAGGUGAAUACGUCACGUCACAUGUGAUCAGGGUUGAAUAAUCUCAGAGUGUUGGAUUUGGCCCUAUUGCGCAGCUCUUUUUUGAGUCCAACCGUUGUAGGGACGAGCUUUUUACUCGAAGGAUUAUCUGAGCCUCAUCACAUGUGAUGGUAUUCAGGUGAUGGCUAAUUAUCAUUAUAAGGAGGCCUUCAACAGCUGAGGACUGGUUGAGUGGAGUCAGAGAUUUCCCUAGGGAAAGCCUAGGAUGAGAGUAGCAGAGAUCAGUAGCAGUAGAGUGACAUGGUGGAGUCAAGGCAGUUCUUGAGGAAAGUACGGAUAGAUGUGGAAGGUAGUAUGGGCCUGUACUACUGAAAGCAGAGGAUCCGUACUCGAAUCAAGGAAGGCUGAGACAAGACCAGGAAGCUAGUAGUAGUAUCAAGGAUCCCUUGAAAUAUUUCAGUUAUCUGAUGUCGUUAUGAUGUGUUUCAGAAUGGUGGUUUUGCGUUCGAGACCAGCAGCCGACAGUGGAGGUGCCGGGGAGGGAUCAGGUUCAGGCUCGGGGGACGAGCGCAUGGAUGAGCAGACCAGAGAGGUUCUUUCUUCAGAGAUUACUCGUAUCAUUAUAGAGCAGACUCCUGUGAUCUUCGGUUCGAUCAAGGAGGGUAUCCUAGAGCUGAUGGAUGAGAGGUUGGGCACUUUCCGUGCCGAGGUGGCGGCCAUGAUGGGGUCGUGCACACUUACAUUCAGGGAGUUCAGGGCAUGUGGAGCUCCAGACUAUCACGGGGCGCGGGACCCCAUAGCGAGUACUAGAUGGUUGGCGGAUGUGGCCAACGCGUUCCGCACGAGCAGGUGUCCCGAGGGGGACAAGGUUAGAUUGGCGUCCUGUCUUCUGAAGGACAGGGCACGGGAUUGGUGGGAGGAGGUCGGACAUACCAUUGGAGAUGAUGCAGCAUUGGAUGCCAUGACCUGGGCUGAUUUCUCUACCAGGUUCAGGGCGGAGUUUGCACCGGUUAUUGAGGUGCAGCAGUUAGCCAGAGAGUUUCAGGACCUCACCCAGACUACAGAGACCGUGGCGGAGAUCACCGCCAAGUUCAGGGAGAGGGCUCUUCUUGUUCCUCAGUAUGCAGCCGAUGAGGAGAUGAAGAAGGCCCGUUAUCAUGAGAUGUUGCGGAGCGAUAUCCGCCAGUUUGUGAGCCGGUCCAGCUGUAAAACGCUGGAUGACAUGAUUGCUAGGGCUCGGGAGAGGGAGAUUGAUCUCGAGAUGGAGAAGAAGAGGAAACCGGAGGCGGUUUCGGGUACAGGCAGUUCGGGCAAAAAGCCCAAGGUUUCAGAUCACAGAUCUAGGAGUCAGCAGAGCCACGGUCGAUGUGGCAAGUGUGGGAGAUUGCACGAGGGGGCGUGCAAGGCAGGGAGUUCCGGCUGCUACAAGUGCGGUCGGAUUGGGCAUUUGAGUAGGGAUUGUACGGCCCCUGCUACUGCCGUUGCAGCAUCAGAUCUGAUUUGCUUUCAGUGCAAUCAGAGGGGACAUAAAAAGUCCCAGUGUCCGAGUUUAGCUGCAGCAGGGAAGGUGGCUGCACCUGCCCCUGCUACUUUGAGGAUUACAGAUGGCCGGCAGGGCCGAGCUGAUGCGCCAGUGGCGAAGAGUAGGGCGUUUCAGAUGACAGCAGAGGAGGCGCGAGCGACUCCUGAUGUGGUGACGGGUAUGUAUCUUCCCUUCAUCUCUUUAUUAUUAUUGAUUGAUUAUUGCUUAUGAUUGUAUGUUUUAUAUAGGGUCGUUCUCUGUGAACGGCAUUUCUGCUAUGGUAUUAUUCGAUUCGGGGGCUACCCGAUCAUUCGUAUCGCUUGCGCUUAGCAAGAGAUUUAGUAGAGCUCCAGGGGAGCUGGAUUGUCCAUUAGAGGUUGAGAUAGCAGAUGAUAGGACCGUGAGGGUCGGCAGAGUGCAUAGAGGGUGUUCUCUUCAGUUGUUUGAUGAGCAGUUUUCAGUGGACCUGGUACCUAUUCCCCUGCGAGGGAAUAAGGUUAUUGUGGGCAUGGAUUGGCUAAGCCCCAAUGGGGCGGUGAUUGAUUGUGAGCUUCAGCUAGUGAGGGUUCGCACUCCCAGUGGGGGAGAGUUAGUGAUUCAGGGCGAGAGGCCACAGCGCGGACCGACCUUUUGUUCCGCCGCAAGGGCGAGGCGCUAUUUUCAGCAGGGUUGCGCUGGUUAUGUAGCUUAUGUCUUGGAUGCCCGGGAGAAGGGCAAGACGACAGUUGAUGAUGUUCCGAUAGUGCGAGACUUCCCGGAUGUAUUUCCCGAGGAUUUACCGGGAAUACCUCCUGAGAGGCAGGUUGAGUUUAGGAUCGACCUGAUUCCUGGUGCGGCUCCGAUAGCCAAGGCACCGUAUCGCCUAGCUCCCCCUGAGAUGCAGGAGUUGUCUACGCAGCUGCAGGAGCUGCUAGACAAGGGUUUCAUUCGGCCGAGCAGUUCGCCUUGGGGAGCGCCGAUCCUGUUUGUGAGGAAGAAGGAUGGGUCGCAUCGUAUGUGUAUAGAUUACCGGGAGUUGAAUAAGGUAACGGUGAAGAACCGUUACCCACUUCCGAGGAUAGAUGAUUUGUUUGAUCAGCUUCAGGGAGCGUCUUGGUUCUCCAAGAUCGAUCUACGCUCCGGGUAUCAUCAGAUGCGGGUUAGGGAUGAGGAUGUGCAGAAGACUGCUUUCAGGACCAGGUAUGGUCAUUAUGAGUUUGUGGUGAUGCCAUUUGGGCUCACCAAUGCUCCAGCCGCGUUCAUGGAUCUCAUGAAUCGCGUGUGCAGGCCGAUGCUGGAUCGGUCAGUGAUAGUAUUCAUAGAUGAUAUCUUGGUGUAUUCCAAGACGCAGGAGCAGCACGAGGAGCACCUGAGGGAGGUGCUGGAAGUUUUGAGGAGGGAGAGACUUUUCGCAAAGUUCUCCAAGUGUGAGUUCCGGUUGCGCGAGGUGCAGUUCCUUGGUCACCUCGUCAACCAGAAGGGGAUUUUGGUGGAUCCGGCCAAGAUAGAGGCCGGGAUGCAGUGGGAGGUCCCAAAGUCUCCAUCUGAGAUUCGGAGCUUCCUAGGGUNUUCGGAGCUUCCUAGGGUUGGCAGGGUAUUAUCGGAGGUUCAUUCAGGAUUUCUCCAAGAUAGCAGUGCCGCUCACCCGACUGACCAAGAAGUCGGUGGUAUUUCGUUGGGGGCCUGAGCAGCAGGCAACGUUCGAGACCCUCAGGCAGAGAUUGUGCGAGGCUCCGAUCCUUACCUUGCCAGAGGGAGUAGAGGACUUCGUAGUCUACUGUGAUGCCUCAAUCACAGGCAUGGGAGCAGUGUUGAUGCAGCGAGGCCAUGUGAUAGCUUACGCCUCGAGACAGUUGAAGCCUCACGAGGCUAAUUAUCCUACCCAUGAUUUAGAGCUGGGGGCGGUUGUGUUUGCCCUCAAGAUUUGGAGACAUUAUCUUUAUGGGGUCCGUUGUACUAUAUGCACGGAUCACAAGAGUUUGAGGUACCUUAUGGAUCAGUCGAGUCUGAGCAUGAGGCAGAGGAGAUGGUUGGAUGUGUUGAAGGAUUAUGACUGUGAGAUCCUUUACCAUCCAGGGAAGGCCAACGUGGUGGCCGACGCCCUAAGCCGCAAAGUGUUGACAGCUCCUAUCAGGGAUUUGUGUUUGAGGAUGACAGUGAUCACUCCAUUGUUGGAGCGGAUCAAAGAGGCUCAGGUUGAGGGCCUCAAGGAGGAGAGGCAAAAGUGUGAGAGGAUAGUGGGCCGAGUAGCUUCGUCUGAUUAUGACAGUCGGGGAUUGCAGACGCUUCAUGGGAGAGUGUGGGUACCGUACUGGGGUGGAGUACGGCAGGUGUUAAUGGACGAGGCUCAUAAGUCUCGAUUUUCUAUCCACCCAGGGGCGACGAAGAUGUAUAGAGAUCUUCGAACCGAUUGCAUGAAGCGGGACGUCACUUGGUAUGUUGAGAGAUGCCUGACCUACAGGAAGGUCAAGGCGGAGCACCAGAGGCCUCACGACAAGAUGCAUCCAUUAGACAUUCCCGUGUGGAAAUGGGAGGACAUCACCAUGGAUUUUAUCACCAAGCUUCCCAGGACCGCACGAGGAGUAGAUUCGAUAAGGGUAGUAGUGGAUCGGUUGAUGAAGAGUGCUCAUUUUAUCCCGAUCCAGGAGAGUAUAUCAGCAGAAAAGUUAGCCGAUAUCAAUGUGCGUGAGAUCGUGGCACGUCAUGGAGUGCCGGUAUCGGUGGUGUCAGACCGAGAUGUCCGUUUUACAUCCAGAUUCUGGAAGCGGUUCCACGACGAUAUGGGUACUCAUCUCCAUUUCAGCACCGCUUUCCACCCUCAGACAGACGGGCAGAGUGAGAGGACGAUUCAGACUCUCGAGGACAUGCUCAGGGCAUGUGUUCUAGACUUCGGUGGCAGUUGGGAUACGUAUCUUCCGUUAGCGGAAUUUUCGUAUAACAACAGUUAUCAUGCGAGCAUUGAUCGACCUCCCUUUGAGAUGCUUUAUGGGAGGAAGUGUAGGACCCCGAUUUGUUGGGGCGAGGUCGGUCAGCGAGUCGUUGGGAGCACAGAGGUGGUGCUCAAGACGACCGAGUUGAUUCAGCAGGUCCGUAGUAGACUGCAGACUGCGCAGAGUCGGCAGAAGAGUUACGCCGACAGGAGGUGUUCAGACUUGGAGUUCCGGGUGGGUGAUAUGGUCCUUUUGAAGGUCUCACCUUGGAAGGGUGUCAUCAGGUUCCGGAAGAGGGGAAAGUUGGGUCCCAGGUUUAUUGGUCCUUUCAGGGUUUUGGCCCGGGUGGGUCGGGUUGCUUAUCGGUUGGAUCUUCCUGUAAAGCUUAGCCAGAUCCACAACACUUUCCAUGUGUCUCAGUUGAGGAAGUGUUUGAUGGAUGAGUCAGCAGUUGUUCCCAUAGAGGAUAUUCAGGUUAAUAGCAGCCUGAAGUAUAUUGAGAGGACGGUCGCGAUUCUGGACCGGAAGACAAAGACCUUGAGGAACAAGGAGAUUCAGUUAGUGAAGGUGCAGUGGCAGCACCAGAAGGGGUNUCCGAGGUGACCAUAGUGGGACAGAAGAGUGCUAGAUCACAGAAUCGGUUUGUGUAAGUUGUAAGGUCAGAGCCUGCCAUUCUGAGAUUCCACAAUUCUUGCUCCAGUGUAACGAUCCGUCUCUGGUAUGUUGCUUCCAUGACAUUUAAUUAGAAGUUUUCAAGAGGGACUUAGCGAGUCUAUAGCCCGACCCGCCGAGUAGGGACAGGAUUUUGUGCACGUGUUAGACGGCGACUCAGCGAGUCCAUAUUCGGGACUCAGCGAGUCUGCCUGCCUGGAAGAAACCCUAAAUCCCCAGGUUGCUCGCUAUUUAAGCAAUGCUUGUGCCCUAAACUCGCCUCCUUCACCCUCAGAGAGCUGUGAGAAACCCUAAUCCAUCCUUUGAGUGAUUUAAGUGUUUUUUUGUGGAUUUUGAAGGCUUGAAGAGGAAAAAGAAGAAAGGAACAAGGAGAAGAGGUGUAGAGCAAAGAUCCAAGGGCAAAAUCAGAGUUCAUUAAGGUAUUUCUCGGAUUCCUUCUGUUUUAUGCUUUAAACCUCCAUUAGAACACUUCUAGGGCUAGUUUGAUGUAUUUUCCAAACCCUAUAGUUGUAUGGAUGCCUUAAUAGGUCGAGAUAUCCUUAGAUCUGUUCAUUUAGGAGUUGUAGAGCCCGGAUCUAUUGCCUUUUUGAAGAUACUUUGCAUGAGAACCCUAGAUCUAGCCUUUAUUAUGCUUUUUGAGCCAUUUUAUCUUCAUGGAUGCAUAUGGGCACGUAAAGAUAGAAUCUUUACGUGCUAAUCGAGUUAAGGGAGCCCAGAUCUAUAAGUUUUAUACACUGGAUUCAAGCAGAAUCGAGUUUAGAGUGACUGCCUGCAAGCGACUCCGCGAGUCGAGUCGCGAGUCCCCGAUUUUCCGUUUUGAGUGAUGCCGAGUGGGGACCAGUGAGUAGUAGAGUGGACUCAGCGAGUUGGAGGCCAGACUCAGUAAUGGAGGGACUCGGCGAGUUGUUCAUACAACUCGGCGAGUCCAAGGCAAUCUUCUUAGCUCGAAGAACAACUCGUCGAGUUGUUCAUACGACUCGGCGAGUCGGAUGCAGAUUGCCUGAGUUUUAGAUUCGAAAGGGAACUCGUCGAGUUGAUGCCAUAC